Molecule: ribosomal RNA, 253 nt
Filed under: uncultured bacterium
Lineage: Bacteria
Description: partial 16S ribosomal RNA
Rfam family: Bacterial small subunit ribosomal RNA
Source: RNAcentral
UACGUAGGGGGCUAGCGUUGUCCGGAUUUAUUGGGCGUAAAGAGCGUGUAGGCGGCCAGGUAGGUCUGCUGUGAAAACUCGAGGCUCAACCUCCAGACGUCGAUGGAAACCGUCUGGCUAGAGUCCGGAAGAGGAGAGUGGAAUUCCUGGUGUAGCGGUGAAAUGCGCAGAUAUCAGGAAGAACACCCGUGGCGAAAGCGGCUCUCUGGGACGGUACUGACGCUGAGACGCGAAAGCGUGGGGAGCGAACAGG